This is a long non-coding RNA of Dicentrarchus labrax (European seabass), 1016 nucleotides long. RefSeq lists it as uncharacterized. The transcript is spliced from 2 exons. Lineage: Eukaryota; Metazoa; Chordata; Actinopteri; Moronidae. The record is from RefSeq and is a predicted model, not a curated record.
UUUCCCCCCUCCCCUCCUCCUCUUGACUCCUGCUCCCUCUUUCCUCCCGCCCCGCCCCUCUCUGUCUCUCGAAACGCGUGAACGCGCACGGUCCUCCGGAUGCUGCACGGCACGCGCCUGAUGGUGCUUUCAGGGUUUGUGGAUGAGCAUCGGCCUCAGCAGUACGGUAAAGGGAAAACGAACUUAAAAAUGAGCUGUCGCAGGUCACCUUCCAUGGAGUCAUGUUGAACCGCCUUGUUCCUACAGUAGCCCAGAACAGACAAACCAAACACAGACUGUAGAUCGGGCUUUUGCAUUUUUUUGUGAGUUUCGCAGCCACUGUAGUUUCUCCUACACACUCCACAGCCCGUUCUCAUGCCCAGGUCGUCAAAUAGAGACGCCAGUAGUGUUCAGUUAGUUGCAAUCUGCAACUUCACCACUAGAUGCCACUAAAUCCUCUGGAUCCUGAAUCCACUGGUCCUUUAACUAAGUAUAAUAUACUUAAAUAACGCAUGUACUUUAUUACAAUCUUGAGGUACUUUACACGAGUGUUUACAUUUCAUGCUAUUUAUACUUUUUAUAUUUAUACUCCAUUACACUGCAGUGAGGUUAAUUAUUAUACUUUUUACUCCACCACAUAACCUAAGUUACUUGAUAUGAUAUUAUAGAUCAGAUGAGGCUUUAUUGAUGAUAGUAGGAAAUUCACAGACUACAGCAGUAUAUCAAGAAAUUAAAAUAAGCAACAAAAUAAAACUCACCUAAAUUUCAACUGUCAUCUUGUUUUUUAGGCAUCUGGGUCCUUGAGAAAACGUCCUGUAUGUACUGAAAAGUGAAAUAUGAAUGAUGAUGUUUUGGAAACAGUUCUGUCUAUUGCUGUUUUGCCCUGACAAUGUGUGGGAUUUAUCAUGUAACUUUACCUGUCUGCACUAAUCAUGUGACUACUUGCCAACAUGUAGCCCAUGAGGUGGCCAUUUUGUGGUUUGUAAGUAUGACAAAGUAGCCAUGAGACAUUAAAGGCUUUUUUGAAUCACUACCCA